AAUAUAAUAAGCUAAUUAAGCUAAAGGGUUCAUACCCCUUAAAUAAAUUAAUAUUUAUCAUAUUU
Molecule: transfer RNA, 65 nt
Filed under: Scolopendra dehaani
Lineage: Eukaryota; Metazoa; Arthropoda; Chilopoda; Scolopendromorpha; Scolopendridae
Description: tRNA-Met
Source: RNAcentral